CGCAGCUGUGUCAGAUUCGGUGCCUGCCUCACCCGUGGCGGGCACUGGCCUAAAAGGCUGCCACAGAAACACUGUGACUCAUGGGCCCUGAUCCUCUCUGCUGGGCCUCAGGGAUACAUUUGGUUACAGACACCA
Balaenoptera musculus (blue whale) is the source of this 135-nucleotide small nucleolar RNA. Ensembl annotates it as small nucleolar RNA, H/ACA box 5A. Its record names the gene SNORA5A. The record is from Ensembl. NCBI's taxonomy places the organism in Eukaryota, Metazoa, Chordata, Mammalia, Artiodactyla, Balaenopteridae.